AUUGAACGCUGGCGGCAUGCCUUACACAUGCAAGUCGAACGGCAGCACGGACUUCGGUCUGGUGGCGAGUGGCGAACGGGUGAGUAAUGCAUCGGAACGUGCCAUUGAGUGGGGGAUAACGUAGCGAAAGUUGCGCUAAUACCGCAUAUUCUGUGAGCAGGAAAGCAGGGGACCGCAAGGCCUUGCGCUCUUUGAGCGGCCGAUGUCAGAUUAGCUAGUUGGUGAGGUAAAGGCUUACCAAGGCGACGAUCUGUAGCGGGUCUGAGAGGAUGAUCCGCCACACUGGAACUGAGACACGGUCCAGACUCCUACGGGAGGCAGCAGUGGGGAAUUUUGGACAAUGGGGGCAACCCUGAUCCAGCCAUGCCGCGUGAGUGAAGAAGG
This 384-nucleotide ribosomal RNA is filed under the name uncultured bacterium. RNAcentral describes it as "bacterial SSU rRNA". It matches the Rfam family "Bacterial small subunit ribosomal RNA", at positions 30 to 414 of the family's 1533-position model. The record is from RNAcentral.